UGCUGGGAUGACCUGAGGAUGUACCGAUGGAAGGUCAGGAGUAAAUUCGUGUAGUAGAUGAGCUUGUAGUAGAAAGAACAGGGAAACGAUAAAGUAUAUUUUGACGAUGCGAGGUUUUAUUAUUAAGUAUUGAUAGAUGCUGAAGAUAUUAGAAAGAGUGAAUAAAUCUGGUGAUAUGAGGAUAUGCUGGAAGAAUAAAUGGAUUAAUUUAUCCCAUUUAUUUAUAUACUAUUUUGAAGAAAUAAAUAGGAAGAUAGUUAUGUCUUCACAUGUCCGACGUGGCCAAUGUUAUGAAAGGAUUUAGGACGCUUUUAGAAAUAAUUGGAAAUUGAAAUAAAGUAGAUCGUAGUAAAGCAAAAGUAUGUGUUUCUAGUUUAUUAAGAUAGUUAAAAAGUAAAUUGAAUAUAAAUUUCAAAUAAUUCGUUGAUAUAAGAAGAAAAUACAUAAGUUAAAAAGAUCAAGAUUCGUAAGUAUAACGGACUUUAUCUUAGAUGCAAGAUAAUCAGUAAUAGUACAAAGUCAAGAACCUCAUUAAAUAAGUUAUUUGGCACGCGUAAAGAAGGUUAUUAGGUUGCCGGACAGAUGUAUGUCGAAUUGCUAUUACAUCCAAGGUUAUAACCAUAUUCUCAGAAUCAUGAAUAUUCAGUAAUACAUUAAGGCACACGAGAAUGUUAUUAACAACCAAUCAAACAGCUGAGAUACGAAGAUUGAUGUAUACAAGAUAAUAAUUAAACUUUAACAAAUUUUUAAUUAUCUUUUAUUAUUAAGAUCAGAAAUUAAAAUUCUUCCCUAAAUAUUAUUCUUUUUAAUUUUAGAAAACAUAAUUCUGAUGCUUUUCAAAAACAAAUAAAUGCAUUUUGCAUAUCAUGAAGCAAUAAAUGUUUUGGCAGCAAAUUCCAUCGUUUGCAAAAGAAGCUCAAUUUCGGCUGGGGAACAAGAAUGUCGGGUAUUCAAUAGUGACUAUAAAAGCAAAUAUAAGUCUACUGUCCGUACUAUCCUUGUUCCUACCAGCAAAUUGAGUUGUCUUAUUUAUUUCAUUAAAAAGGUAAGUUAUAUACUGUUACUUAAACUUAUUUAAAGAAAGAAAUUAAUUGCUAUAUAAUUCAAUAAAUAUAAAUAUAAAUAUAUAUAUUCAGAUAUAACAUUUUAGUCAUUGCGUUUCAUGAGGUUAUUCACUCAUGUAUAACAAAUAGACUGAACGUAGUUUACAAGGUAAUUCAAGCAAUAUUUGAAAUAGAAAUACAUAUGUUAUUGUCAACUGAUAAUGUUAUUUAUUGUUAAUCUGUAUGAUUUAUGCACUGUGAUAUUUUAUGAUCAAAAAGAAAAGAAAAGAAUAAUUAAACUAUCCUUGUUCCUACCAGCAAAUUGAGUUGUCUUAUUUAUUUCAUUAAAAAGGUCGGAAGGCGCGAGUCCCACUCUCGCUGCCAAGCCAGUCCAUAACAACGACAUGUAGUCCCCAGAUAGCCAGACAUCUUUCUACCUACAGGAACCGUAGAAGAAGUUAACAAACGUGAGAAGGGAAAUCACCAUCAUGUUUAUCAAUAUAGAAGUCAUAAAGCACAAUCAUAGUCCCACCUUAACAAGUGUUCCCCUGUGAAGUAUACAACAAAAAGGACCAUAAAAACCUUCACAACACCUAUGCACAUGAUGCAGCGGAGAAACUGAUACACCAGCUCAUUACCACGAGAGAGAAACAAAUACAAAUAUUUCUGAUUCAAACAUCUGUCAAGUUUAUAAACAUCGGCUUUGGCUAUACUGUUUUUGGCUUAUAGCUCUUCAUCUUUUUAAUAAACUUUGGAUUUUCAAAUAUUUUGACUUCGAGCAUCACCGAAGAGACAAUGAUUGUCGAAAUGCGCAUCUGGUGCAGAAAAAUUGGUACCGUUUAUGUUAUUGUAUUUAUGGUUUUAAUACUUGUUUUUUUCAUCUAUCUGUCAGAAUGAAGUUAUACAGAAUUCUGUUGUGUAUUGUAUUGUUGGUUCAGACAGGAAAAGGCCAGUUAUUGUAUCCCGACUAUUACAGCUUUCUUCCACAAGCUACCUGUCCUGUAAAUACUGAUAGUUUCACCAAAAACAUUGUUAUAUUAUCUCUGUGUGUAACAGUGGGAUAUGUAAUGAAUCCUGCUAUUUCUACCUCCAUAUGGAAGAAAUGUUUAGACAUACCAACACUAGGUGCUUGCAACAGUGAACCAGACUGUGCCAGUGAUGGAACUAGAUGUGUUCCAAAAGACUCUCUGUAAUAUUGAUGUUUUUCCUCUACAACAUUUUUGUCAAUUACUUGUCUUAUAUACAUCAAUGAAUAAAAGAAGUCUGGUGUGGA
This is a long non-coding RNA of Mytilus californianus (California mussel), 2316 nucleotides long. RefSeq lists it as uncharacterized. The transcript has 2 exons. NCBI's taxonomy places the organism in Eukaryota, Metazoa, Mollusca, Bivalvia, Mytilida, Mytilidae. The record is from RefSeq and is a predicted model, not a curated record.